This 486-nucleotide ribosomal RNA is filed under the name uncultured bacterium. Its description in RNAcentral is "partial 16S ribosomal RNA". It matches the Rfam family "Bacterial small subunit ribosomal RNA", at positions 28 to 507 of the family's 1533-position model. The record is from RNAcentral.
GACGAACGCUGGCGGCGUGCUUAACACAUGCAAGUCGAACGCUGAAGACCUGGCUUUUGUUGGGUUGGAUGAGUGGCGAACGGGUGAGUAACACGUGAGUAACCUGCCCUCUUCUUUGGGAUAACGCCCGGAAACGGGUGCUAAUACUGGAUAUUCACUGAUCUUCGCAUGGGGGUUGGUGGAAAGGUUUGUUCUGGUGGGGGAUGGGCUCGCGGCCUAUCAGCUUGUUGGUGGGGUGAUGGCCUACCAAGGCUUUGACGGGUAGCCGGCCUGAGAGGGUGACCGGUCACAUUGGGACUGAGAUACGGCCCAGACUCCUACGGGAGGCAGCAGUGGGGAAUAGUGCACAAUGGGCGAAAGCCGGAUGCAGCGACGCCGCGUGAGGGAUGGAGGCCUUCGGGUUGUAAACCUCUUUCGCUCAUGGUCAAGCCGCAACUGUGGGUUGUGGUGAGGGUAGUGGGUAAAGAAGCGCCGGCUAACUACGUG